GCUGCUGCCCCUCUGUGUCACAGAUUGAAAAAUAUAUUUACAUUUAAUUUACUGAUGUUUACAGUUUAAAUGUUUGUGUUUUAUAUUUAUAUUAUGGUUACUGUAAGAAUUUGAGGACUUGAGGAGCUAUAUCUCUGUUCUGCUUUAAACGUAUAAGAUCUGAAGAUGGAGGACGGUAGCACUUUAGAUGGAGGUGCACCAGGCUCUGUGGGACACCCUGUCACCCCUGUGGAGCAACAGAACGGAGGAUUCCAGGAGAAGCUCAGCAGCUGUGGCGCUGUGAAGGAAGAGACGCAGGAGCCGAAGAGCUACGAUCACGGAGACGACCUUCGUACCGGUCUGAAUAUUAUCUGCGUUAAAGAAGAAGAACCCGAAGAAGACGAGAUCCUCUGUAAGACUACAGGACCCGUUAGAAAGCAGUCUGGAGUUGUGAUGAUGACACGCCCUAUGUAGUGCACUACACCUACAGCAGGAAGUGGCUUCAGAUGGAGCUCGUGCCUCUGAUUGGUGCUUGUGUUCUGUCCUUCCAGACUGUGAGGAGUGCAGAUCGUUCUUCUUCAACAAGUGUGAGCUUCAUGGUCCACCUCUCUUCAUCCCUGAUACUCCUGUUCCCACGGGCAGCGGCCAGCGAGCCAGACGAACCCUUCCAGCAGGUCUGGAGCUCGGAGAGUCUGCUGUUCCUGAUGCCGGUCUGGGAGUGUUUAAUACCGGCCAGACGGUACCAGUCGGUGCCCAUUUUGGAGCCUACCAGGGAGAAGUGGUGGAGAAAGAGGAAGCCAUGAACAGCAGCUACUCGUGGGUGAUCUACAGGAGUGGGCAGGGUGAGGGCUACAUAGAUGCCAAGAGAGAGACACACGCCAACUGGAUGAGGUUUGUGAAUUGUGCUCGUAACGAUGAAGAACAGAAUCUGGUGGCGUUUCAGUAUCGAGGGGGAAUUUUCUACCGCUGCUGUCGAGCCAUCAGAGCAGGACAGGAGCUCUUGGUGUGGUACAGUGAGGACUACGCUAAAGAUCUCAGCAGUGUGUUUGAUUUCCUCUGGAACAGAAAGUGCUCCACACACGGAAUGAACGACGCCCUGCUUCCAGGUUUCUCCUGCACAUUAUGUCCACUUAUUUUUGCAUCUAAAAACGGCCUCCACGACCACAUGAUGGGAAGCCACAGUGAGGAAUAUGAGGGAGCGUUAAACCUGGGACUGAUCACAUAUGAGGCUCAGAGCAGCUCGAGUCGUGAUCAAACGUCCUUCAGUUCUUUUAGCAUCAACACGUCUCACAAACAGCUUCAGAAGAAAACGUACCACUGCACAGUCUGUGGAAAGAUGUUUAACCGUGAGGAUAAUCUCCAAACUCACCAGCGCAUUCACACGGGAGAAAAGCCAUAUCAGUGUUUUCAGUGUGGCAAGAGUUUUACCCAACUGAGUACUCUCCAAACACACCAGCGCAUUCACACGGGAGAGAAACUGUACAACUGUCUACAGUGUGGCAAGAGUUUUAGUGAAAAGGGUUCUCUGAAAAACCACCUGCGCAUUCACACUGGAGAGAAACCCUAUCAGUGCUCACAGUGUGGCAAGAGUUUCACCCAUUUAAGUACUCUUCAAAAGCACCAGCGUGUUCACACUGGGGAGAAACCGUAUUUAUGCUCGCAAUGUGGGAAGAGCUUUUCACAACAAGGUUCUCUCCAAAAACACCAGCGCACUCACAGUGAAGAGAAACCAUAUUGCUGCCCACAAUGUGGAAAGAGUUUCCAUCGAGAGAGUCACUACCAAAUGCACCAGCGCAUUCACACAGGAGAGAAACCGUAUCAGUGCUCAAUGUGCGGUAGAUGCUUUAAUCAGCAGAGUCAUCUUCAGCGGCACCAGCGCGUUCACACUGGAGAAAAGCCGUAUCAGUGCCCACAUUGUGGGCGGGGCUUCACUCAACAGAGCCAUCUCCAACAACACCAGAGCAUUCACACCGGAGCAAAGCCCUAUCAGUGCUCAGAAUGUGGAAGAAGUUUUAAUCAGCAGAGUCAUCUUCAGCGGCACCAGCGCGUUCACACUGGCGAAAAGCCGUAUCAGUGUUUAGAAUGUGGGCGGGGCUUCACUCAACAGAGCCAUCUCCAACACCACCAGAGCAUUCACACCGGAGAGAAGCCCUAUCAGUGCUUAGAAUGUGGGAGGGGCUUUACUCAACAAAGUAGUCUCCAACAGCACCAGCGCAUUCACACCGGAGAGAAACCCUAUCAGUGUUCACAAUGUGGGAAGAGUUUUACUCAACAGAAUACUCUCCAAAAGCACCAGCGUGUUCACACCGGAGAGAAACCGUAUUCAUGUUUACAGUGUGGAAAGAGCUUCACGUAUUCAGGAAGCUUUAAAAGUCACAAGUGCGCCAAGACGGUCGCUAGCUCAUGACCAGAACACGGGUCGUGAACGGAUCAUGUUCCGCUGAAACUGUCCAUUUUGUUCCUGCAACAUGAAACUGAAACCCAUUAAAAAUCCUCACAGCAUUUAGCCGACGCUUUUAUCUAAAACGACCCAGAAUUGUGACCACAUGGAAGCAGUUGAGGUUUAGGGGCCUUGCUCAGGGGCCUGACAGUGCCGAGUGUUGGGCUAGAACCAGCACCCAGCAGGCGUGUGUAAAGCUUGUGAGAGAGUUUUCACAUGAACAGACUAAACCGUCUCUGCCACACAGACCUGUGAAGGAUGUAAAGUUGCCGUCGGUCUCCUGGUAGUUUUUCAGAUGAAGAUUCUCCAGUCUGGUCUGAAGGGUCGACAGAUCGAGUGAAACUGUUUAAGACUCUGAUCAGUUGUUGAGGAAUCACGAGUGUCUCUGAAUUUUUCUUUAUUUAACUCUUAACUUCUGCCUGUCCACUGUUUUACCCAGGAGCCUUUUUACUCCUCAACCAGUGUGAGUUCUGUGUGUUAUCAUGUUCUAGUGAUAGUGGAAUCCUCAAAAACAGCCUCAACAAAGGACAGAAAAACCUCUCAGUCUCAGAGAUAUCACAGAUACACCUCCACACUGGUGGAUAAUGCACUGCUGCCCAGAUUACACCAAGGAGCAUGGAUCCUCUCAAACGUUCUACCUUAUAAUUGUUUUCACAGUUGCUGCUACCUGUAGCUUCGUGAAGUCGCUUUCAGACAGAGCUUCCUGUGAAAUAAAAUAAAGAAAAGCUGAAUGAGUAAAUCUGA
Trichomycterus rosablanca is the source of this 3163-nucleotide RNA transcript. It is a transcript of the gene named gastrula zinc finger protein XlCGF26.1-like, with no coding region annotated. The record is from RefSeq and is a predicted model, not a curated record. Lineage: Eukaryota; Metazoa; Chordata; Actinopteri; Siluriformes; Trichomycteridae. The transcript is spliced from 7 exons.